UCUAUCAGUUAGUUAUAUUCCAACUCUAAAAGGAGAUAUCAUACAUUAAAACAUCUACUCGUACUAUAAAUAGGAUUUGGGAAAAAGAUAAUAAUGAGGAAAUCCGAGGAAAUGAAGAGUUUGAGCGUAAAUGCAGAUGGAAAAUUCAAGCGGAAUUAUUCUCAACCUGAACUUUAUAAAAGUUUUUCUCCUAGAACUCCCAACAAGCUCAUCAUCAGCUCCUCCCCCGAAUCUUAUUCGUAUUCGACUACUCACAAUGUAAGUAUGCAUUUUGUAGUUAGUGGGGCUCGAACUUGAAGGUUGAGGCAUAUAAGAAGAAAACAACGCGGAAGCUCAAUAUAAAGAAACCACCAACGCCAAAAACUAACCCGGGAAAACCUGGUUCACAUAAUUAGACAUUAAUAACUACGAUUUCAUUUGUACAUACAUAAUCUAUGUUCCGAGAGUUCUUUGAAGGGUUUCGAAUUGAACCCCGGAUAUAUGAUACAAAUUUACCUGAUUAUGUAUCAUAAUUAGGACUAUGUUUAUGUAAGAAUAAUUAAUAUAGACAAAUAAAGUUGAGACAUUGUAUUGCAAGAAAUACGAAAGAUAUAUACAAGAAACUUUGUUGCCUUUGAA
Molecule: long non-coding RNA, 618 nt
Organism: Chenopodium quinoa (quinoa)
Lineage: Eukaryota; Viridiplantae; Streptophyta; Magnoliopsida; Caryophyllales; Amaranthaceae
Exons: 2
Source: RefSeq, a predicted model, not a curated record